ACGUAGGACCCAAGCGUUAUCCGGAUUGACUGGGCGUAAAGAGUUGCGUAGGUGGCGAUGUAAGCGGAGUGUGAAAUCGUGUGGCUCAACCAUACGGCUAUGCUCUGAACUGCAUUGCUAGAGGACGAGAGAGGUAGCUGGAAUUCCCUGUGUAGGAGUGAAAUCCGUAGAUAUAGGGAGGAACACCGAUGGCGUAGGCAGGCUACUGGCUCGUUCCUGACACUAAGGCACGAAAGCGUGGGGAGCAAACGGGA
This 254-nucleotide ribosomal RNA is filed under the name uncultured prokaryote. RNAcentral describes it as "partial 16S ribosomal RNA". It matches the Rfam family "Bacterial small subunit ribosomal RNA", at positions 525 to 777 of the family's 1533-position model. The record is from RNAcentral.